GUUGGCUUAGAAGCAGCCAUCCUUUAAAGAAAGCGUAAUAGCUCACUGGUCGAGCCGCCCGGUGCCGACAAUCCAACGGGGCUCAAGCAUGGUACCGAAGUCGCGGGUCUGUUCUUCGGAACAGGCGGUAGGAGAGCGUUCUGUUCAGCGUUGAAGGCAGACCGAAAGGACUGUUGAAGCGGACAGAAGUGACUCUGCCAGCAUAAGUAGCGAUAAGCCAGGUGAGAACCCUGGCCGCCGUAAGACUAAGGUUUCCUGAGAAAGGUUAAUCCGCUCAGGGUUAGUCGGAGCCUAAGGUGAGGCCGAAAGGCGUAGCCGAUGGACACACGGUUAAUAUUCCGUGACCUCCUAAGGAGAUACCGAUGCGGGGACGCAGCUUUGAGCUUGGCAGUGGCAAUGGUUUCCACUGUUGGGGGAGAAGAGGACCGGAGAGGCAAAUCCGCCGGUUCGUCUGCCAGGAAAAGCCGCUAAGGGCCAAGGGAGUCCGUACCACAAACCGACACAGGUGGUCGAGAUGAGUAUUCUAAGGCGCUCGGGUGAUAGGUUGUUCAGGAACUAGGCACAUUGACCCCGUAACUUCGGGAGAAGGGGUGCCCACCUCAGACGUGGGCCGCAGAGAAUAGCGCAGGGCGACUGUUUAACAAAAACACAGGUCUCUGCAAAGUCACAAAAACGACGUAUAGGGGCUGACGCCUGCCCGGUGCCGGAAGGUUAAAAGGAGGGGUUAGCCGCAAGGUGAAGCUCUGAAUUGAAGCCCCGGUGAACGGCGGCCGUAACUAUAACGGUCCUAAGGUAGCGAAAUUCCUUGUCGGGUAAGUUCCGACCUGCACGAAUGGCGUAACGAUCCUGCGACUGUCUUAACAACCUGCCCGGCGAACUUGUGGUUCCGGUGAAGACGCCGGAUGCCCGCCACUAGACGGAAAGACCCCGUGCACCUUUACUGCACCCUAACAAUGAAUCGUGGGGCGGUCUGCGCAGCAUAGGUGGGAGGCUUUGAAACCGGACUCUUGGGUUCGGUGGAGCCAACAUUGAGAUACCACCCUGAUCGUUCUGUGCUUCUAACCUACUCCCGUGAUCCGGGAGAGGGACAUUGUUAGGCGGGUAGUUUGACUGGGGCGGUCGCCUCCUAAACGGUAACGGAGGCGCUCGAAGCUUGGUUCAGGAGGUUUGGAAAUCCUCCUUCGAGUGCAAUGGCAUAAACCAGGUUGACUGCGAGACCUACAAGUCAAGCAGGUGCGAAAGCAGGACAUAGUGAUCCGGUGGUUCUGAAUGGAAGGGCCAUCGCUCAACGGAUAAAAGGUACGCCGGGGAUAACAGGCUGAUC
RNAcentral lists this ribosomal RNA (1324 nucleotides) under bioreactor sludge metagenome. RNAcentral's name for it is "bacterial LSU rRNA". It matches the Rfam family "Bacterial large subunit ribosomal RNA", at positions 1100 to 2487 of the family's 2925-position model. The record is from RNAcentral.